Molecule: transfer RNA, 77 nt
Filed under: Micavibrio aeruginosavorus
Lineage: Bacteria; Pseudomonadati; Bdellovibrionota; Bdellovibrionia; Bdellovibrionales; Pseudobdellovibrionaceae
Description: tRNA-Asp
Rfam family: tRNA
About the family: Transfer RNA (tRNA) molecules are approximately 80 nucleotides in length. Their secondary structure includes four short double-helical elements and three loops (D, anti-codon, and T loops).
Source: RNAcentral
GCGGGUGUAGUUCAGUUGGUUAGAACGCUUCCCUGUCACGGAAGAGGUCGAGGGUUCAAGUCCCUUCACUCGCGCCA